This 497-nucleotide ribosomal RNA is filed under the name uncultured bacterium. RNAcentral's name for it is "partial 16S ribosomal RNA". It matches the Rfam family "Bacterial small subunit ribosomal RNA", at positions 28 to 507 of the family's 1533-position model. The record is from RNAcentral.
GAUGAACGCUGGCGGCGUGCCUAAUACAUGCAAGUCGAGCGAACAGACGAGGAGCUUGCUCCUCUGACGUUAGCGGCGGACGGGUGAGUAACACGUGGAUAACCUACCUAUAAGACUGGGAUAACUUCGGGAAACCGGAGCUAAUACCGGAUAAUAAUUUGAACCGCAUGGUUCAAUGGUGAAAGACGGUUUUGCUGUAACUUAUAGAUGGAUCCGCGCCGCAUUAGCUAGUUGGUAAGGUAACGGCUUACCAAGGCAACGAUGCGUAGCCGACCUGAGAGGGUGAUCGGCCACACUGGAACUGAGACACGGUCCAGACUCCUACGGGAGGCAGCAGUAGGGAAUCUUCCGCAAUGGGCGAAAGCCUGACGGAGCAACGCCGCGUGAGUGAUGAAGGUCUUCGGAUCGUAAAACUCUGUUAUUAGGGAAGAACAAAUGUGUAAGUAACUAUGCACGUCUUGACGGUACCUAAUCAGAAAGCCACGGCUAACUACGUG